Molecule: ribosomal RNA, 3481 nt
Filed under: Phycisphaerales bacterium
Lineage: Bacteria; Pseudomonadati; Planctomycetota; Phycisphaerae; Phycisphaerales
Description: 23S ribosomal RNA
Rfam family: Bacterial large subunit ribosomal RNA
Source: RNAcentral
GGUCAAGCUAGUAAGGGCGUAUGGUGGAUGCCUUGGCGUGCGGAGGCGAUGAAGGACGUUGUAGGCUGCGAUAAGCUCCGAGGAGCCGCCAAACAGGCUUUGAUCCGGAGAUCUCCGAAUGGGGCAACCCGGGUUCAGUUCGCAAGGACAUGGACCCACUCCCGUCUGAAUGCAUAGGACGGGCAGAGCGAACGCGGGGAACUGAAACAUCUCAGUACCCGUAGGAAAGGAAAUCAACCGAGACUCCGUGAGUAGCGGCGAGCGAAAGCGGACUAGCCCAUGAGCCGUCAAAUGCUCAGCUGAACGUUCUGGAAAGGGCGACCAUAGAAGGUGACAGUCCUGUAGGCGUCAGGCAGAUGGCGGCGAUUGAGUAGGUCGGAUGUCGUGAAACUCUGACUGAACAUGCGGGGCCCACCCUGCAAGGCUAAGUACUCCCGCACGACCGAUAGUGAACCAGUAAGGCGACUGAACGGUGAAAAGCACCCCUUCUAGGGGAGUCAAAAGCACCUGAAACCAUAUGCCUACAAGCUGUAGGAGCCCGAUUGCCGCAAGGCACGGGUGACUGCGUACCUCUUGGAUAAUGGACCGGCGAGUUGCCGUAUACGGCUUGGUUAAGCGCUUCCGGCGCGGAGCCAGAGCGAAAGCGAGUCUGAAUAGGGCGUUUUGUCGUAUGCGGCAGACCCGAACCUGCGUGAUCUACCCAUGGCCAGGUUGAAGGAAGGGUAAAACCUUCUGGAGGACCGAAGCCGUUAACGUUGAAAAGUUAUGGCAUGAGCUGUGGGGAGGAGUAAAAGUCUAAUCAAACGCAGAGAUAUCUGGUUCUCCCCGAAAUGUCUUUUGGGACAGCCUCGGGCCACUACGUCGCGGGGGUAGAGCUACUGAAUGAAUCGCGGGGUCUUCGGACUACCGCCUUCAAUCAAACUCCGAAUACCGUGACGACUAUCCCGGGAGUGAGAGUGUGGGCGCUAAUGUUCAUACUCAAAAGGGUAAUAACCCGAAUCGCCAGCUAAGGCCCCCAAGCGACGCUGAGUGCUUAAGGAAGUCUGUUUUCUGUGACAGCCAGGAUGUUGGCUUAGAAGCAGCCACCAUUUAAAAAGUGCGUAAUAGCUUACUGGUCGAGAAGAUGGGCGCCGAUAAUGAUCGGGACUAAGCGUCGCGCCGAAGCUGCGGGCGCGCAAGCGCGGUAGGGGAGCGUACCACCGGAGACACAAGCCAUACCGUAAGGAGUGGUACCGGCCGGUGGUAGUGAGAAUGCCGGUAUGAGUAACGAUAAAGCGGGUGAGAAUCCCGCUCGCCGUAAGCCCAAGGAUUCCUGGGGAAGGGAAAUCCGCCCAGGGUUAGUCGGAACCUUAGUGGAGGCCGAAAGGCGUACACGAUGGACAGCAGGUUAAUAUUCCUGCACUCCGUAUGUAGCCGGCGGGGACGUGAUCAUGGAGCGCGACCCACUACAAGCCUAGAGGGUGCCCGCAAGGGCGAGGCCGCUUUGUUGCCGAAGCGCGUGAAGUGAUCACCGAGAAAAGCCGUCCGGUGUAAGAAUGCGGAUCCGUACCAAAACUGACACAGGUGGGCGAGGAGAGUAUCCUAACGGCGCUCGAGAGAACGGUCCUUAAGGAACUAGGCAAUUUGACCCCGUAACUUUGGGAAAAGGGGAGCCUCCUCCGCAAGGAGAGGCCGCAGAGAAUCGGCUCUGGGAACUGUUUAUCAAAAACACAGCUCUGUGCCAACUCGUAAAGAGGACGUAUACAGAGUGACGCGUGCUCGGUGCCGGAAGGUUAAGGAAGCCGGUCAGCGCAAGCGAAGCUGGCGACCGAAGCCCCGGUUAACGGCGGCCGUAACUAUGACGGUCCUAAGGUUAACAGACGCUAGCCUUAGUCAAACCGAACCAUAUGCGGGAAACUCCUCCACAGCCGUCCAGUACUCGUCGGGCUCAUGGCCCGGCAGUAAGAAUCUGGCGGACAUGGGGACAAUCCGCAGGGAAGACCUCCCGACCUGCUCGGGAGGAACCCUCAGAGACUUGAUGUUCGGACUGGAGCCAUCUCAUGCAGCUCGAUGCACAGUGGAUUGUGGGUUUCACCGACGGUGAAGGUUGCUUUCACGUCGGCGUCUCGCGCCAUCCGGACAUGGCAUCGGGCGUCCAGGUCCUGCCCGAGUUCGUCCUCGUCCAGCACAAGCGCGACGUGAAAGUGCUUCACGGCGUCAAGCAGUUCUUUGACUGCGGCGUCGUGCGCAGGAAUCACGGCGAUCGGAUGUGCUGGCGCGUGCGGCGGCUCGAGCAUCUGGCCGAGCGCAUUCUCCCGUUCUUCGAGCGACACCCGCUCAAGACGCGAAAGCGUCAGGAUUUUCUGGCUUUCCGCAAGGUCGUCCGACUGAUGCGUGAGGGCCGGCACCUGUCGUCGGAGGGUCUGGAGCAGGUGCUGCGGAUCGUCGAGCGGAUGAAUCGCGGUCGGAGCAUGGAGAAGGCCCAGUAAGGUAAAGUCCAGCCGGUCGCGAAAGCGAUUGGACCAUCUGAGCGAAGUUCCUUGUCGGGUAAGUUCCGACGCGCAUGAAUCGCGUAAUCACUGGAGCAGUGUCUCAAGGACCGACUCGGUGAAAUUGAAGUCGCGGUGAAGAUACCGUGUACCCGCAGCAAGACGGAAAGACCCCGUGAACCUUUACUGCAGCCUGGUAUGGGCAAUUUGUAUCGCAUGCGUAGGAUAGGUGGGAGGCACUGAUCCGCUGGUUCCGGCCAGCGGGGAGCCAACGUUGAAAUACCACCCUUGUGCUACGACUUGCCUAACCUCGACCCGUGAAUCCGGGCGAGGGACAGUGCUAGGUGGGCAGUUUGACUGGGGCGGUCUCCUCCCAAAAAGUAACGGAGGAGUGCAAAGGUCGGCUCAGCACGGUUGGCAAUCGUGCGCAGAGGGCAAGGCCAUAAGCCGGCUUAACUGUGAGAGGAAAAUCUCGAGCAGAUGCGAAAGCAGGCCCUAGUGAUCCGGUGCUCCCGCGUGGAAGGGGCAUCGCUCAACUGAUAAAAGGUACUCCGGGGAUAACAGGCUGAUGACUCCCGAGCGUCCACAGCGGCGGAGUCGUUUGGCACCUCGAUGUCGGCCCAUCGCAUCCUGGGGCUGAAGGCGGUCCCAAGGGUUCGGCUGUUCGCCGAUUAAAGCGGUACGCGAGCUGGGUUCAGACCGGCGCGAGCCAGGUCGGUCCCUAUCUGCUGUGGGCGUAGGAGUCUUGAGAGGCCAUCUCCCUAGUACGAGAGGAUUGGGUGGUACAUGCCUCUGGUGUACCUGUUGUCGCGCUAGCGGCACGGCAGGGUAGCUAAGCAUGGAUUGGAUAAACGCUGAAUGCAUCUAAGCGUGAAGCCGUCCUCAAGAUAAGGACUCCGUGCUCCCUUCGGGUGAGCUGAAGACCCCUCGUAGACUACGAGGUUGAUAGGCCGGGUGUGUAAGAGCCGAGAGGCUCUCAGCUUACCGGUACUAACGGUCGAGGGCUUGACCGC